Antechinus flavipes (yellow-footed antechinus) is the source of this 1223-nucleotide long non-coding RNA. RefSeq lists it as uncharacterized. NCBI's taxonomy places the organism in Eukaryota, Metazoa, Chordata, Mammalia, Dasyuromorphia, Dasyuridae. The transcript is spliced from 2 exons. The record is from RefSeq and is a predicted model, not a curated record.
ACCGAAUAGUUCUCUUGUUGCAUAGGGAGAAUUGGAUUCAGAAGGUAUAAAUAACCCGGGAAGAAAAACAAAAAUGCAGAUAGUUCACAUUCGUUUCCCAGUGUUCUUUCUUUGGGUGUAGCUGCUUUUGUCCGUCAUUUAUCAAUUGAAACUCAGGUCUCUUUGAUACUUUAUUUCUUAAUUCAAUGUUGUUGUUGUUGUUUGAAAUUUUUAUUUGCUGACUUUCUAGUGUUUUUUAAAAUUUCAUCCCUAAUUUUUUUUGUUUCUUUUCUCCUUUGCUGAUGAAAGUAUUUAGAGAUAUAGAUUCUCAUCUAAUGAUUCACCAAUAUUCUCUUGAUGGUAUUCUAUGGAAUACCAUGAUCUCAGAAGAAUCAAAAUCCAAAUGACCAAAGAAUCAUAAAACAAUGUAUGAUAGGUAUAAGAAGGAAAGAAAUAAAAAACAAAACAGCAUUAAUGAGUAUGAAUGAUCAUAUAAGGAUAAAUGGAGGAUCUACAAGUGAAAUUAAGCCUUUUAGGAAGGAAAUGAUUAUGAGAGCUGGAGAAGAGGAAAAAUUAUAAUCUAAGCAUGAGAAUCAGGGUAGUAAGUAGGAGGAUAAAAUAGGUCUGUCAGUAUAAGAUUUGGGCAGCAGGGGUGGGGAUGUUAUACAGAGAAGAUUAUAUGACUGCUCUAAAGCAGCGUUCAGGUAGCACUCAGUGAGCCUAAGAGAAAAUUGGAAAGACAUGAAAUGGGUCAAGAAGGGAAGAUCUGACAUUGAAGACCAACUGUAAUUAGAGUAAGGGUUGUGGGAAGAGAUUUGGGCUUCAGACAGAGUCCCUGGGUUCUGAUCCUGACUCUAAUGCCUCCUACUUGGGUUAAACCCCAUCUGCUCUGCAGGAUACAAGUGUCUCACCUGUCAAACGAGCCAUUUGGACUCAGGUCUCUUCUAUCUCAAAUUCUCUGAUUCUGUGAGCUGAUAGGGUGUUUCUAGUUAUUACAGUAGCCACAAAGUUCAAUUAAAAUGACUUGCUGAACUGAAAGGUCAUAGCUGUAUUCCCACAAAAUAGCUGCUAUUUACACACACAAAUGAUGUUUUAAGUUAUGGGGAAGAUUCAUAGAAUUUACAACUAGAAGUUCACUUGAGAUCACUCCAUCUAAUUUUCUUUGUACUGAGGAGGAAAUUGAGUUCUAAAGAAUUGGAUAAGGAUUUGAUAUAAUGAAACAGAGAGAGAGAGAGAGAGAGAGA